CCACCGGCAGCCCGAGUGGUGGCCACUAUUAUUGGGCCUAAAGCGUCCGUAGCCGGUCCGGUAAGUCCCUGUGGAAAUCCUCAGGCUCAACCUGAGGAAAUGCGGGGAUACUGCCGGACUCGGGGCCGGGAGACGCGGAGGGUACUCCAGGGGUAGCGGUGAAAUGCUGUAAUCCCUGGGGGACCACCAGUGGCGAAGGCGCUCCGCGAGAACGGGCCCGACGGUGAGGGACGAAAGCCAGGGGAGCGAACGGGAUUAGAAACCCUAGUAGUCC
This 274-nucleotide ribosomal RNA is filed under the name uncultured bacterium. RNAcentral's name for it is "partial 16S ribosomal RNA". It matches the Rfam family "Archaeal small subunit ribosomal RNA", at positions 473 to 747 of the family's 1478-position model. The record is from RNAcentral.